AAUGCGAGACUUGGCCUCGGCUGCACUGGGCACUUGCAGGGUGAUUUCCUCCGGGCACUGGCUGGCAUCUGCUCCUGGAGGAGAGAGAGCCAAGAAACACGUCCACAGCGUCCUGGUCUGACAGGUCCAUCAUGUCCAUCUGCUCCAGCAUGUCCACGUUCACCUCCAUGGAGGAAAUGCUGCCUAAGGGGGCUGCAGAGAACGAGGGCCGGCAAAAGGUCCCCGGGAGAAUUGUGCUCCCUUAAAACAUCCCUUUGGAAGACUCUGCUUUCUCACUGCCAUCCUUGUUCCUGCUCCACACUGCUGUCUGGAGAAGCCCGUCUCAAUCUAGUGACUAUGGAGGGAGCCAGCCUUGGUACCCAAGUUCAGUGCCUGCCAGUUAAGUGGCGUGAGACAUCGGGAAGAAGAAAUCCACGUCGUGCUGGAAAACCUCCUCAAAGAACUUCUGCCGGUCCCGCAGUCUGAGCUGCUGCUGCA
Non-coding RNA from Struthio camelus australis, 477 nucleotides. The record is from RefSeq and is a predicted model, not a curated record. Lineage: Eukaryota; Metazoa; Chordata; Aves; Struthioniformes; Struthionidae.